AGUGAACGCUGGCGGGAGGCCUAACACAUGCAAGUCGAACGGCAGCACAGUAAGAGCUUGCUCUUACGGGUGGCGAGUGGCGGACGGGGGAGGAAUACAUCGGAAUCUACUUUUUCGUGGGGGAUAACGUAGGGAAACUUACGCUAAUACCGCAUACGACCUACGGGUGAAAGCAGGGGAUCUUCGGACCUUUCGCGAUUGAAUGAGCCGAUGUCGGAUUAGCUAGUUGGCGGGGUAAAGGCCCACCAAGGCGACGAUCCGUAGCUGGUCUGAGAGGAUGAUCAGCCACACUGGAACUGAGACACGGUCCAGACUCCUACGGGAGGCAGCAGUGGGGAAUAUUGGACAAUGGGCGCAAGCCUGAUCCAGCCAUACCGCGUGGGUGAAGAAGGCCUUCGGGUUGUAAAGCCCUUUUGUUGGGAAAGAAAAGCAGCAGGUUAAUACCCCGCUGUUCUGACGGUACCCAAAGAAUAAGCACCGGCUAACUUCGUG
This 492-nucleotide ribosomal RNA is filed under the name uncultured bacterium. RNAcentral's name for it is "partial 16S ribosomal RNA". It matches the Rfam family "Bacterial small subunit ribosomal RNA", at positions 29 to 507 of the family's 1533-position model. The record is from RNAcentral.